Molecule: non-coding RNA, 344 nt
Organism: Maylandia zebra (zebra mbuna)
Lineage: Eukaryota; Metazoa; Chordata; Actinopteri; Cichliformes; Cichlidae
Source: RefSeq, a predicted model, not a curated record
GUGGAGAUCUUGUUCCCCUCGCUCCCGUCCUCCUGGACCUGGGCCGCCAGCUGCUCACACAACGUGGCCUGCCGACCCACUGCUCACCUGCCUGCCUCCCCACGCCUCGACCGCUUCCGGGUUUUCCGCUCCACCUGUCCCCUCCAUCUGAAACCAAUGCCCCGGCCCCUACCUAGUCCUGUUUCUACCUCCCCGCUGUCCCCGCUGUUCAGCCGUCUCCUAGAGGUGUCUAGGUCGCCCUCAUUUUCACAGACGAGUCCUACGCGCCACUAGUGUGGUGGCGUCGCUUUGUGUUUCACCUUUGUUUUCCCUGUGGGCGGAAAUAAAUCAUUUGUUUUCUGUCA